This is a non-coding RNA of Lineolata rhizophorae, 99 nucleotides long. The record is from the annotation of a GenBank genome assembly. Lineage: Eukaryota; Fungi; Ascomycota; Dothideomycetes; Lineolatales; Lineolataceae.
GACACUAUGGCCGAGUGGUCUAAGGCGGCAGAUUUAAGUUAGCGUAGCUAAAAAUCUCUGCUGGAGCGAUCCGCGUGGGUUCGAAUCCCACUGGUGUCA